This 321-nucleotide ribosomal RNA is filed under the name uncultured Pseudomonas sp. Its description in RNAcentral is "bacterial SSU rRNA". It matches the Rfam family "Bacterial small subunit ribosomal RNA", at positions 160 to 508 of the family's 1533-position model. Lineage: Bacteria; Pseudomonadati; Pseudomonadota; Gammaproteobacteria; Pseudomonadales; Pseudomonadaceae. The record is from RNAcentral.
AAGCUAAUACCGUAUAUUCUCUAAUGAGGAAAAGAUUUAUCGCUGAUGGAUGAGCCCGCGCCCAGAUUAGGUAGUUGGUGAGGGUAAUGGCUCACCAAGCUGACGAUCUGUAGCUGGGUCUGAGAGGAUGAUCAGCCACACUGGGACUGAGACACGGCCCCAGACUCCUACGGGAGGGCAGCAGUGGGGGAAUAUUGGACAAUGGGCGAAAGCCUGAUCCAGCAAUACCGAGUGAGUGAUGAAGGCCUUAGGGUUGUAAAGCUCUUUUAGCAGGGAAGAUAAUGACGUUACCUGCAGAAAAAGCCCCGGCUAACUCCGUGC